RNAcentral lists this long non-coding RNA (249 nucleotides) under Elaeis guineensis (African oil palm). Its description in RNAcentral is "long non-coding RNA (EGUI_LNC043797)". The record is from RNAcentral. Lineage: Eukaryota; Viridiplantae; Streptophyta; Magnoliopsida; Arecales; Arecaceae.
UCCACCUCUUGAAUUUUGCCAAAUUUAAUUUUAUAGGCAUUAGCUCCUUCUCUAAGGAACUCCUUUUUCAAAAAGACUAUUCUGCUGCUAACAAAUACUUUUUGCUCUUUAGUGAGAUAGAAGUAGUAUCUUUUAAGUUUUUUUGGGUACUCUAUGAACAAGUAUUUAUCGAAUUUUAGUCCAAGUUCAUCUGAUUUCAAAUGCUUGACAUAAGCUAGACACCUCCAGAUCCUAAGGUGUGAGAGCACC